Molecule: ribosomal RNA, 545 nt
Filed under: uncultured bacterium
Lineage: Bacteria
Description: bacterial SSU rRNA
Rfam family: Bacterial small subunit ribosomal RNA
Source: RNAcentral
AAAUAGAUACCCGGGUAGUCCACGCCGUAAACGAUGAGUGCUAAGUGUUAGGGGGUUUCCGCCCCUUAGUGCUGCGGCUAACGCAUUAAGCACUCCGCCUGGGGAGUACGGUCGCAAGACUGAAACUCAAAGGAAUUGACGGGGGCCCGCACAAGCGGUGGAGCAUGUGGUUUAAUUCGAAGCAACGCGAAGAACCUUACCAGGUCUUGACAUCCCGCUGACCGCUAUGGAGACAUAGCUUUCCCUUCGGGGACAGCGGUGACAGGUGGUGCAUGGUUGUCGUCAGCUCGUGUCGUGAGAUGUUGGGUUAAGUCCCGCAACGAGCGCAACCCUUGUUCUUAGUUGCCAUCAUUAAGUUGGGCACUCUAAGGAGACUGCCGGUGAUAAACCGGAGGAAGGUGGGGAUGACGUCAAAUCAUCAUGCCCCUUAUGACCUGGGCUACACACGUGCUACAAUGGACGGUACAAACGGUUGCGAAGUCGCGAGACGGAGCCAAUCCGAGAAAACCGUUCUCAGUUCAGAUUGUAGGCUGCAACUCGCCUAC